Molecule: transfer RNA, 82 nt
Filed under: Synarthrophyton patena
Lineage: Eukaryota; Rhodophyta; Florideophyceae; Hapalidiales; Hapalidiaceae
Description: tRNA-Tyr
Rfam family: tRNA
About the family: Transfer RNA (tRNA) molecules are approximately 80 nucleotides in length. Their secondary structure includes four short double-helical elements and three loops (D, anti-codon, and T loops).
Source: RNAcentral
GAAGGGAUGGCUGAGUGGUUUAAGCGAUAGACUGUAAAUCUAUUAACGUAAGUGUAUGUAGGUUCGAAUCCUACUCCCUUCA